Molecule: RNA transcript, 1551 nt
Organism: Sapajus apella (tufted capuchin)
Lineage: Eukaryota; Metazoa; Chordata; Mammalia; Primates; Cebidae
Gene name: ras-related protein Rab-22A pseudogene
Exons: 2
Source: RefSeq, a predicted model, not a curated record
CGGGCCACAGCGCUGUGGGAGCUCAAAGUGUGUCUGCUGGGGGAUCCAGGUGUAGGUAAAUCGAGUAUUGAGCGGCGGUUUGUGGAGGACAGUUUUGAUCCAAACAUCAACCCAACAAUAGGGGCAUCUUUUAUGACCAAGACUGUCCUGUACCAAAAUGAGCUACAUAAAUUCCUAAUCUGGGUUACAGCUGUAUAAGAACGAUGUCAUGCCUUAGCACCAACGUACUAUCGAGGGUCGGCCGCAGCUGUAAUCGUUUAUGGUAUCACAGAAGAAGAGACAUUUUCAACAUUAAAGGAUUGGGUGAAAGAGCAUCGACAGCACAGCCCACCUAAUAUUAUAGUUGCCAUUGCAGGAAAUGUGUGAUCUUAUUGAUGUAAGAGAAGUCAUGGAGAGAGAUGGAAAAGACUAUGCCAACUCUAUUCAUGCAAUUUUUGUAGAGACCAGCGCAAAAAAAGCGAUAAACAUAAAUGAACUCUUUAUAGAAAUUAGUCGAAGAAUUACAUUCACUGACGCCAACCGCCAUCUGGCGGUAAGGGCUUCAAACUCCGAAGGCAGCCUUCAGAGCCAAAGCAGAGCUGCUGCUGACCGAACCUCAGCCUCUCAUACUUGAUGAUGAAGUAGGUGUUCCUGAAAGUUAACAGGAGGGCUGGGACCCUGCCACCAGUUUCCACCUAGCUGGUCUUGAGUCUUCUCUGUGCACAAAGUAUUCAUAGAUAUUGACUAAUCUCUUCUCCAAAGACUGCAGCAAUGAUAUUUCAGUCUGUGGACUUCUAUUAUGUAAAGAAUCUCUAGUGUACAACAGGACUACAUCAUUGGCUUUUGACCUUGCUGAAAAGGAACAUGUAAUUGCAUGGGUGGUAAGAUUAAAUUGUUGAGUAGUUUUGUGAUCAAGAUAUUAUGUAACAUUUGUAAAGGAAAAAUUAACACUUUUGUGGUUCUCAAAGGAAAGGAAGACCUUGUGGAGAUUAUCAUUUCCUUGGUUUCUGUUACCACUGUCAGAGGGAGUUGUAUCAUUUAAAAUACAGUAGGAUAGUCUAAAUGGGGACAGGACAAUUAUGAUCUGAAGCUAAAAUGGGUCAUUUAUAGGACUGAUGGAAAUGACUUCAUCUCUGCCAUCUCUAAAGCACUUUUCAUUGACUAUGUUAGCCUAGGAUGCGUACAGUAAAUUAACAAUGAUAGCAGCAGAUCCGUAGCUCACCCUGGGUUUGCUUCUGACCUUGUCAUGUGUGUGCCACCAAACAUGUUAUUGGCACCUUUUUAAAAUAAGCUCUCAUGAUCAAGAUGCUGAUGGUAGAGAAGCCGCCUGGAAUAAAUUGAAUUUCAUGUGUUCUAAUUGACUAGCAGUUGUUUAAAAAGGAAGAAGAGAGGAAGUAAAGAAGUUGGUGUAAAUGCUGUCAAUUUUUUUUAACCCAAGUAUUUUGGUGGGGAAAAACAAAUAUCUGUUGCUUAGCAUAUGUAAAGUUGUAGUCUAUAUUUAUGAGGCCAUCGCUUAAAGGUUAUCAGUUAUGUAAAUACAUUAAUAAAUUCUAAGUUUCAUUUGAAAAAAAA